AAUUCCUGGUAAAACAACAGAAAUAAAAAAGGUCUCGAUAUUUGCACAUAGGAGGGGAGGUACCUUUCCUUGGUAGUUCCACGUUGUUGCCAUAUAUAAUGGAAUCAAGGAAUGGUUCAGGCUGGAAAGUCAGCUCUCCUGCCAUGGGCAGGGACACCUUCCACUAUCCCUGGAAGUGCCCAGCCUGGCCUUGAACACUUCCAGGCAUGGGGCAGCCAUAGCUUUUCUGGGCAGUCUGUGCCAGAGCCUCCCCACCCUCAUUGUAAACAAUUUUUUCCUUUAUAUAUCUAAUCUAAAUUGACACUCUUCUAGUUUUAAACCACCCCCACUGCCCUGUUGCAGCAGGCCCUGCUAAAAUGUUUGCCCCCAUCUUUUUUAAAAGCACUAAGGCACGCGCUCUCUCCUCUUUGGAUUUGAAGUCAGAAUGUGAAGUACAACUUUCUCCAUCGGCCCUGCAAGCCAGCAUGUGCAAGGAAACCUCCCAUCCUUGCCAAGGAAUGAGGGCAAAUUAAUGAGUGCUGGGGCUAGAUGUGAAAACAGGACAGAGUAAAGUGAUGAAUGUUCCAGCAUGGAUGACCAAAUCACUUUACAUUUCCCUUGGGGCCUUCUAAGGAGCCACAGCACCUUUUUUAGCUUGCUACUUUGUUUGUUCAGUUUGUUUUUUUUUUUCCCAUUGGAAAAGCAACUUGAAAACAAAGAAAACAGCAUUUGAGAAUGCUUUCCUAAUUUGUUAAAAUCACAGGAGCACUCGUUGACCUCGGUAGGGACGGGAGAUUUCUGACAGUUUUUCCUUCAAGUCCUGCUAUUAGUCAGACAAAAAAAGGUUAUGUUCAUGAUGAGACAUAUCUGCUCACUUAUUAUGUACAUCCUGGAGAGAUUAAACAGCUCUUGCUCUUCCAGGAAUUCACAGCCUAUUUCUUACAUUUGCAAAAAUUAAUCCUCAUUAUCCUUGAAUGGAAAAUGAUGGCACAAUUUUGAGCUAUGUCAACAAGUCACUCUUCUCCUGUGGACUGUGAGCCUCCACAUCAUGUGCUGGCAGUUCUUUACCAGCCUCACAGCCAUUCUGUUUUGUAGUUUGGCUUCCCGAACUUUCUCCAAGUUAGGAAAUUAAACUGUGCACUAUGCAGCACAGACCUCAACCAACACCACCAUUCUCCCCUUAAAUUUCAGGGGCACAGAACUGCAAAGUCAUUGUGCCUGGAAGGUUCAUCUGUAGAAGACCUUGCUUAGAGCAAACUCAGCUAAAGCAGGUCCUUCAGGGCCAGCUAUGGCCAGGUUUUUAAUAUCUCCAAGGAUAAAGAUUCCACGACCAAUUUGGGUGGCCUGUGCCAGAGUCCGAUUACCCAUGCAGACGAAAAAAAAGCUUUCUUUUCUUAUUUUAAAUGUAAUUUACUGUAUUUCAGUUUGAGCCCAUUCAUUCUUGUUCUGUCACUGGACACAGGUGAAAAGAUUUUGGUUCCAUCUGGUUUAAUUUUGCAGGUUGCCCAGAGAAGCUGUGGCUGCCCCUGGAUCCCUGGAAAUGCUCAAGGCCAGGUUAGAUGGGGCUUGGAGCAACCUGGGUUAGUGGAAGGUGUCUCUGACCAUGGCAGAGAUUUGGAACACAAUUGUCUUUAAGGUCUCUUUCAACUGAAACCAUUCUGUGAACCAUUCUACAUUUCUGUUAAGUUUUCCAGGGCUCCCACUGUGAUUUAACUGGAGCAACUUGCUCUUUGGAGCUGUUUUGGAAAUUUAUUCCACACAUGUUGGCAGUGUCAGCUGUUAAUCUUUUGGCAGGAUCUUUUCCAUUUAAGUUCAAUGAACAUCUCUGCAGGAUAUUCAGGAGGCUGUUCUGCUUCCAUCAAAACUUUAGUGACAACAGUACAGCAUGAAAGAAAGAAAAUAUCCCUUCCUUCUGCAGCAAGAGAUGUCAGUGCCUGCAGACCAGGAUGGAAUAAAUUUUUGAACUCAGCCUGGCUGCCAGCAGCAAACAGGAUGAUGGGGUCAGGAUCAGUGCUAAGCAGCAGUACCAGAAAGGGGACUGUGAGAGAUGCACAUGCCCUCCUCUCUCUUCUCCAGCCUGGUGCCAGCGGCCACACUCACCAAGAAGCUGCAAUAAAAUCUUGCUCUUUUAUCAAAGGCAGAGAUGGGACAGACCUGACUUUCCUGCAGAUGUUGGAGCUGAGGACAAAGCCAGCUCCUCCCCACAACGAUGCUUUUAUCAGCUCUGGGCUAUUUAAAGAGCAAGUGCUGAGCUCUGUCAGGGAUCAGCACUGAAAAGCAAAUGCCAACAGGGUGUCCCUUACAGGACAGGGAUACAUAAAUCAAGGAGCUGGAUAGAUAGUCUUAGAAAAAUGGUACAGCUUCCCCAAAACAUCCUCCUGCCUGCUUUAAAGAAAAAAACAUUUCUCUCUCACUAGAAUUUGCCUUCUCUCAUUUUCAUUCCUUUUUGUUAGUGACUUAGAUUAUGAGACACGUAUUUGGAUCUUCUUUUCGUUUCUAGGAGAAUUAGCUCACCCCAGAUGAAAGCUGUACUAGAUAUGCCCAUAGCAGCACAUCUCCCCAUCCUGUCCAUGUCCCAUGGUGCCAGGAGUGGUGUCACAUCAAGGGUUUCAUUGCCACAGCAUUAAACACCAUUUAAAAGCUGAUGUGGAAAUGGAAGGGUUGGUUCAUGUCUGAAAAAUGCAUCCUGCUCUACUGGAAAAGGUGUUGUUUUUCUUUUGUUUCAGACUGGGAAAGUAUUUAUGAAAUUCCUCUUUGCAUUGGUAUGGAAAAGAAAAUGAAAAGGCCAAUGAUGCACAGAGUCUAAAUCUGAGACUUUCCCUCUACUGGGCUGGUUCUGUGUGCUGGGCAUCACAUCAGCAGAAGGAGAACAAAUCAUAUUGGCAGAACUGCUUUCCAGGUGAUGCUGGAAGUCUGUGCUUUCCUGAUAUUGGACAGGCUGGAUUGUAAGCUCCUUGUCACCCGCUUCUGCAAUGAUUAGCACAAUUGAGCCUGACUGUAGAAGCAUAGAUGGAACACAGAUAAUGACAUUACUGCUUCAUUUAACUAAAACCCCAGCCUGCAGCACCAGAAGCUUCCUUUGCCUCUCUCAGGAACAACCAUGACUUGGCUGUACUCACCCCUAGAAUAUCGGGAAACAUGGGAAGAUGAGAGAAAAUUAUGGGGUGAAACAUGGGAAGAUGGGAGAUAAAAAUGGGGUGAAACAAGCGUGGUGGGUUCACUGCUCACCAGGCACCUGGUGCCUGACCUUGCGUUAGUGAAUGUUAACUAUUCCUGGUAAAUAAAGAGCUGGUGGGAUUAAA
Long non-coding RNA from Taeniopygia guttata (zebra finch), 3281 nucleotides. RefSeq lists it as uncharacterized. NCBI's taxonomy places the organism in Eukaryota, Metazoa, Chordata, Aves, Passeriformes, Estrildidae. The record is from RefSeq and is a predicted model, not a curated record.